CGCAGGCUGACAGCUCUUGCCUGUGACAGCUCCAGCUGACACAUAUACAGUGCCAGCCUUCCCAGGCCCUGGGAGAAGCGGGGUGAGCUGGGAUGAGGUGAAGGAAAACCCCGAAGUAAAACAGAGACGAUGGGAGAAUUGGAGGCCGGGGUGAUAAACUCACCGAGCCCAGGGGUGAUGCUCGGGUGAUACUGAGUGAAAGAACGAAUACCUACAGUCCUCUUACGAACACCUGAAACUAUGGCAGGCUAACUUGCCAGCUCGCAGAGCACAGUAUCAGACUCUUCAGAGCUCUUGACACCAUGCCAGCACUGAACAGCAAUCACAGCGCAGAGCUCUACAGAAAUGAGGCCGACUUCCUAACUUUCUUCCUCGUGUUGUCAGACCGAGAGUGAUAACUUUGUUACGUGCUCUUGUGGACUCAGCAAGAUUGUACAAAGAACAUUUUGACCAAAAAAAUGAAAAUGAGUAGGAUCCAGGCACUACUUGUUCCUUUCGUAUUACCAUGCAGGGGAAGAAACCGUGUAUUUUCUUUGCCAGUUGCCGUCAGGUUUAUUGGGCUCCGGGUGUGAUUACCCAUGGGAGAGUGUGCCUCUUAAGGACCUUUCCUCAGUGGCCACACAGUGGGUACAACAAAGAACCUGAUUACAGUAAAGAUUGUAUGCAGCACAACUCAGGGUGGCCUAAUUAAAUCUCGUAUCAUGGCUGACAGCUGUGAAUUUGUUUAAAGAAUUUGUUGUGAAAGCUCCUCUGAUGUUUACUAUUGUUACUCAGACUUCAUGCAGUGAGAUUAUAGUUCAGGAGGUCCCUGAUACUGGAGGGUUAAUGCUAGCUCUCACUGUGCGUGUGAACGUGUGCGUGCGCACACGGACUGCCCUUCAGAACCUU
This is a long non-coding RNA of Bos taurus (domestic cattle), 888 nucleotides long. The record is from Ensembl. Lineage: Eukaryota; Metazoa; Chordata; Mammalia; Artiodactyla; Bovidae.